UUGAGAACAAACUCAUCGGUUCCCAUAAGAUGAAGUCUUCUGAGAGCUGAAGCAGAGGCAGACACACUAAGUGCCACAGAGCCUUUUCCAGGCACUAAGCAGUCCACAUUCAGUGCAUACGUCUUGAGAUCUUGAAAAAUUAGAGGGCUGGACAACUACCAACCACAUGAAUUUUAACAAGACAUGUCUUAGCCUGGACUUCAAUACGCUGUUCAUACAGAGGAGGAAACAUUGGCGUUCAAUAAAUGGUUU
RNAcentral lists this long non-coding RNA (252 nucleotides) under Gallus gallus (chicken). RNAcentral's name for it is "long non-coding RNA NONGGAT004237". The record is from RNAcentral. Lineage: Eukaryota; Metazoa; Chordata; Aves; Galliformes; Phasianidae.